UACAGAGAGUGCAAACGUUGUUCGGAAUUACUGGGCUUAAAGCGCACGUAGGCGGUGUCGUAAGUGUCUGGUGAAAUCCCACGGCUCACCCGUGGAACUGCCAGGCAUACUGCGAUGCUCGAGUGUGGUAGGGGAGAGCGGAACUCCUGGUGGAGCGGUGAAAUGCGUAGAUAUCUGGAGGAACACCGGUGGCGAAGGCGGCAUCCUGGACCGACACUGACACUGAGGAGCGAAAGCGUGGGGAGCGAACAGG
Molecule: ribosomal RNA, 253 nt
Filed under: uncultured bacterium
Lineage: Bacteria
Description: partial 16S ribosomal RNA
Rfam family: Bacterial small subunit ribosomal RNA
Source: RNAcentral